RNAcentral lists this ribosomal RNA (485 nucleotides) under uncultured microorganism. Its description in RNAcentral is "bacterial SSU rRNA". It matches the Rfam family "Bacterial small subunit ribosomal RNA", at positions 9 to 477 of the family's 1533-position model. The record is from RNAcentral.
GAGUUUGAUCGUGGCUCAGGAUGAACGCUGGCGGCGUGCCUAAUACAUGCGAGUCGAGCGAACAGACGAGGAGCUUGCUCCUCUGACGUUAGCGGCGGACGGGUGAGUAACACGUGGAUAACCUACCUAUAAGACUGGGAUAACUUCGGGAAACCGGAGCUAAUACCGAAUGAUAUAUUGAACCGCAUGGUUCAAUAGUGAAAAACGGUUUUGCUGUCACUUAUAGAUGGAUCCGCGCCGCAUUAGCUAGUUGGUAGGGUAACGGCUUACCAAGGCGACGAUGCGUAGCCGACCUGAGAGGGUGAUCGGCCACACUGGAACUGAGACACGGUCCAGACUCCUACGGGAGGCAGCAGUAGGGAAUCUUCCGCAAUGGGCGAAAGCCUGACGGAGCAACGCCGCGUGAGUGAUGAAGGUCUUCGGAUCGUAAAACUCUGUUAUUAGGAAGAACAAAUGUGUAAGUAACUAUGCACGUCUUGACGGUA